This 459-nucleotide ribosomal RNA is filed under the name Staphylococcus chromogenes. Its description in RNAcentral is "bacterial LSU rRNA". It matches the Rfam family "Bacterial large subunit ribosomal RNA", at positions 1 to 452 of the family's 2925-position model. The record is from RNAcentral. Lineage: Bacteria; Bacillati; Bacillota; Bacilli; Caryophanales; Staphylococcaceae.
AGAUUAAGUUAUUAAGGGCGCACGGUGGAUGCCUUGGCACUAGAAGCCGACGAAGGACGUUACUAACGACGAUAUGCUUUGGGGAGCUGUAAGUAAGCUGUGAUCCAGAGAUUUCCGAAUGGGGGAACCCAGCACGAGUUAUGUCGUGUUAUCCGCAUGUGAAUACAUAGCAUGUGAGAAGGUAGACCCGGAGAACUGAAACAUCUUAGUACCCGGAGGAAGAGAAAGAAAAAUCGAUUCCCUGAGUAGCGGCGAGCGAAACGGGAAGAGCCCAAACCAACAAGCUUGCUUGUUGGGGUUGUAGGACACUCUGUACGGAGUUACAAAGGAACAUGUUAGACGAAUAACCUGGAAAGGUUAAUCAGAGAAGGUAAAAAUCCUGUAGUCGAAAACAUCUUCCCUCCUGAGUGGAUCCUGAGUACGGCGGAGCACGUGAAAUUCCGUCGGAAUCUGGGAGGA